UGCGCAGUGGGUGUCAGGAAGAGACCGCUGGGAUUCAUGAAAACAAUACCAUAAAUAAGUGUCACAGUUAUAUUUCUGUUCACUGUAAUCCGAGUCCACCUGUUAUCACCUCGACACCUGACCAGUCCGUUCAGGAAACACCGUGUAGUUGUUUAUCAAUUCAGAAAAACAGAGGAAGAUUAUUUAUAUUUCUGUAAACGUCCGUUGGAAUUCUGAGAUAAUAAAACAACUCCCUUCAGAAAAGUCGAGAGGCAGGAAGUAGAGUCCUCACACGCGAUUACUGCACCGGCCCUGUGAGUUAUGGCGCUCGAUAAACUCAAGAAAGAAGAAACCCUCGCACUGAGGAAGAGACUGAUCGGACAGUCGUGCAGACUCUUCUACUCUGACGACCCAGUGAAAAUAGUCCGAGCAAGAGGACAGUAUCUGUUCGAUGAAAAUGACAAGCGCUACCUGGACUGCAUCAGUAACGUGCAUCAUGUGGGCCACUGUCACCCCAGCGUUACAAAGGCUGCAGCUGCACAGAUGGAGCUCCUGAACACAAACGCGAGAUUCCUGCACGACAACAUAGUCCUGUAUGCAGACCGCCUGGCGGCCACUCUGCCUGAGAAACUGUGCGUCUUCUACUUUGUGAACUCUGGUUCAGAGGCCAACGAUCUCGCCCUUCGCCUGGCACAGCAGUACACCCAACACGAGGACGUCAUCGUGCUUGACCAUGCAUACCAUGGGCAUCUAAUGUCCCUCAUCGACAUUAGCCCUUACAAGUUCCGGAAACUGGCGGGACAGAAAGAAUGGGUUCAUGUGGCACCGUUACCCGACACCUACAGAGGCAAAUACAGGGAGAAUCACCCCAACCCAGGCCAAGCUUAUGCCGAUACAGUGAAAGACCUAAUUGAGGAUGUGCACAGGAAAGGCCGUAAGAUCUCUGCCUUCUUUGCUGAAUCACUGCCAAGUGUUGGAGGACAAAUCAUCUUUCCCCAGGGAUACUCAGCUAAAGUUGCAGAAUACGUGCACUCAGCCGGUGGAGUGUUCGUGGCAGACGAAGUCCAGACAGGUUUUGGACGUGUGGGGAGUCACUUCUGGGCUUUCCAGCUGCAGGGACAGGGCUUCUGUCCUGACAUUGUGACGAUGGGGAAACCGAUGGGCAAUGGGCAUCCUUUGGCUUGUGUGGCAACCACUGUAGAGAUAGCUGGAGCUUUCACAGCCAACGGAGUGGAGUACUUCAACACGUUUGGAGGGAACCCGGUGUCGUGUGCAAUUGGCCUGGCAGUCCUUGAUGUGAUAGAGGAGGAGGACCUUAGGGGAAACGCCAUGAAAGUGGGAUCCUACCUUAAAGAGUUGCUCACAAAGCUGCAAACCCGACAUCAAAUAAUUGGCGAUGUCAGAGGUGUGGGACUUUUUGUGGGACUGGAGCUGGUCACAGACAGAGAGCAGAAGACUCCUGCUACACAAACAGCGGCGCGGGUUGUUAAGAGGUUAAAAGAAGAGGAUCGGAUCUGUGUUAGUACAGACGGCCCCUGGGAGAGUGUGGUUAAGUUCAAACCCCCUAUGUGCUUCUGUAUGGAGGAUGCAGAGCUGGUGGUGCAAUGCAUUGACCGCAUCCUCACAGGUUACUUACACAAACACCACCUUAACCAUACACCUGUCACCAGUUUGUAAUGUACAUUUAAUCUACGGAACACAUUAGCAGUCAAAGAUGUGAAUUUCACAUGUUCAUAAGGUGCAGAAUAACUCAUGAAAUGUGCUUGUUCUCACAGACAUCGAGGCCAACGACCUUAAACUGGAAAAGGAAGACAUCUAAGGUCUUCAGUGCCAAUUUAUGGUUUGGACAUUGGUAGAAUGACAGGUUACCUCUCGAAAUCCAGCCAAUUGGAGGCAGUCAUCUUUAAAAUGAUGCUAGAUGUGACCGUCACCUGGGAGAUUUCAUAUAUGACUCUAUCUUGACACUAAUGAACUUUCAUAAUAUUUUUUAAAAGAAAAAUCAGGAAAUCAAUAAACAGCUUUCUUUAA
Molecule: RNA transcript, 2007 nt
Organism: Hippoglossus stenolepis (Pacific halibut)
Lineage: Eukaryota; Metazoa; Chordata; Actinopteri; Pleuronectiformes; Pleuronectidae
Gene: phykpl
Gene name: 5-phosphohydroxy-L-lysine phospho-lyase
Exons: 12
Source: RefSeq, a predicted model, not a curated record